This 254-nucleotide ribosomal RNA is filed under the name uncultured organism. RNAcentral describes it as "partial 16S ribosomal RNA". It matches the Rfam family "Bacterial small subunit ribosomal RNA", at positions 524 to 776 of the family's 1533-position model. The record is from RNAcentral.
UACGUAGGGUCCAAGCGUUAUCCGGAAUCACUGGGCGUAAAGCGUACGUAGGCGGCUCGUUAAGUGAAAUGCGAAAUCUUGUGGCUCAACCAUAUAGAUGUUGUCUCAUACUGGCGAGCUUGAGGAUGGCAGAGGCAAGUGGAAUUACUAGUGUAGCAGUGAAAUGCGUAGAUAUUAGUAGGAACACCAAUGGCGAAGGCAGCUUGCUGGGCCAUUUCUGACGCUCAGGUACGAAAGCGUGGGGAGCGAACAGG